Arabidopsis thaliana (thale cress) is the source of this 1252-nucleotide long non-coding RNA. RefSeq annotates it as other RNA. Lineage: Eukaryota; Viridiplantae; Streptophyta; Magnoliopsida; Brassicales; Brassicaceae. The transcript is spliced from 2 exons. The record is from RefSeq.
CUUUCAGUUGAUAUCCUUUCACCUCCGUAAGACUCAUAUUGACUUCAUCAUCUUCUCCUUCUCGUGUCACAAACUCUCCUAACUCAAUCUCCAACCACCCGUCGUCUCUAGCUUUCGGCUCCCUCCUUUUCCCGUCUCCGCCUACGGCCUCCACAGUCAUCGCCAUUCGCUCUUCUCGGUUCCCGUAAAAUAGCCGCUUCAUUUGCUGUUUCUUCUCAUCCAAGCAACAUAGAUAAGUUGUGUUCUUAUUAUUUUGACCAUUCUUAGAUUUAACCGAUGUCUCCGCCGGAACUAGGUCUAGUCCGUAAGCACCGUUAGUUACUUUCAUGAUGAGAUAUGCUCCAUAUUUUGUGUUUGGUGAUAAAACUGUGGUUUGAAUUUUACCCUUGAUUUCUAAUCGGUCUGUUGUUAUAAGUUCAGCUGACUCUGAAAAUCUGAAAUUUAAGAAAAAUAUAUAUUUGUUAAUAGAGAUUAAUUAACAAUGUAACAUUGUCAAUAUGUACACAAGCAUAAAUAGUUAUUUUAAGAAAAAAAAAAAAACUGACCUAGAAUCUGAGACAUUGCUCCAAGAGCAGUACGAUGCAUGGUCACUAUAAGUUAUGGAAAUAUCUCUUGCUGAUAAAAUGUAGGAAAUUUUCCCGGAAAAUUUAUUGAUCUUGAACAGCUGAAAUUGCAUCAUACACAAAAGAUAUUUUUAGUUCAAGUAAAUUAAAACGAUAUCUAUUUUUUAUUCAAAGCUAACUCAUAGAAAUCUAACCUUUCGAGCAUUAUCGAUGAGAAGAGAGUCACAUAAACAUCGAUAAAUCUCCUUUUUGGACGAAAAAAUCCGAUGGUGAUCAGUAGAUUGAGAGAUGAGGCUUUUGUAAUGGGACGGUAGAAACUUUUCCCAUACAAAAUCGGAGUCUCCCGCUAACCGGAACACCGAAGAGACUUCCGAUGACGAAAAUGCAUCGGCUGGAGAUGUGAAGGCAAGGAUGUUGGCUACGCAUGCUUCAGCGAUGAUAGAUGAAGUAUGCUUGGAGAUAGAGAUGGUGAGAAUAUAUAGUGAUCAUUGGCAUAUUUCUGCUGACCAUUUUAGACCAAUGGUCAAAUAUUAUGGAUUUAUAUAUUAUUUGUUUGGUGGUUGACCAAAAAUAAAAGAUUGGCCUUCCAAAAGAGAAAGUUCACGCGUAAGAGAAAAGAUUUGUCCUUCGCUUACUAGUAUUUGUUAGUAAAACGUUUAGAGACUUAAACAUGAGACGAACAUAUUUGU